Molecule: ribosomal RNA, 241 nt
Filed under: uncultured bacterium
Lineage: Bacteria
Description: partial 16S ribosomal RNA
Rfam family: Bacterial small subunit ribosomal RNA
Source: RNAcentral
GAUCCUGGCUUAGGAUGAACGCUGGCGGCGUGCUUAACACAUGCAAGUCGAGCGAAGCACUUAAGAAUGAUUCUUCGGAUGAAGACUUUUGUGACUGAGCGGCGGACGGGUGAAGGUAACGCGUGGGUAACCUGCCUCAUACAGGGGGAUAACAGUUAGAAAUGGCUGCUAAUACCGCAUAAGACCACAGUACUGCAUGGUACAGUGGUAAAAACUCCGGUGGUAUGAGAUGGACCCGCGU